This is a long non-coding RNA of Glycine soja, 4583 nucleotides long. RefSeq lists it as uncharacterized. The record is from RefSeq and is a predicted model, not a curated record. NCBI's taxonomy places the organism in Eukaryota, Viridiplantae, Streptophyta, Magnoliopsida, Fabales, Fabaceae. The transcript has 11 exons.
CUCCCUUCUCUCUUUCUCAUCCUCUCUUUGACACUCUGACUCUCCGAUUCUCCGACUCUUCGACUUUGUCAUUUCUUCCUCUCGCUCUCACUCUCCACCGCCACCACCACCGCCGCCGCCUCAGAUUCAACCUCAACCUCAGUAAGAACAACAACCACAAACAGCAGGAAAGGAUGGUUUCGUCACAGGGGUCACCGUCGUUUUAGAUGUUGUCUUUGCCUGGGUUGUGGGGGUACAGUGUUUGAAUUCAUAGUUGGCGUCCUACCCUAUACUGUCACCGAGGCUUCUAUUUUUCCUAACUUCUAGCCUGUUAGGGUUUUCGCAGCUUCCGCUUUUUCCCAUUAUGCCAAUUCCUAGCCCUCGCUAGAAGGGAAUUUUAGAGGGGUGAAAAGGAGGUUGGUGAUGCCUAUUUAACGAGUGUGUCCUUCAUCAACUGUUCCUGCCAUUUUCGGGAGUGGUGCCAAUUGUGCCUUUGCUAGUUUCAUGGGAAGGUUUUAGAGGCCGCUAUACUGGCCACCAAGGCCUGGAGCACACAAUUGUCUGUGGUCUUCUAGCAUCUUUGUUUAUACCUUGACACACUAGGAAAGCAGGAGAAGAAAUUAAGGACCAGGAAGUGUGCAAAUGGUAACAGUGAACUAUGAAUCAAAAGAGGGAGAGAUCACAUUCAGAGCAAUGAGCUUCAAGAAGUGCAGAAAUUUGUAUAAGCCUAAUCUGCAAGUUGGAUGAAGUUGUUGUUAUUGAAAAAACCACAAGCACAAAGAGGAGGAAGGGAUCAAGAAAGUAGUGGAAGAACUCAAUCCAAUAAGAAGAAUAGUUUUUGGCAUGCUUUACAACUAGAACCUUCUAUGGCUUUUGCAAUUCAAAUUUUGGAUGGAACACCUCUUUGCCCUGGUGGCAAGAUUCCUACAUCUGUCAGCCAGGCUAAAUUUGAGUAGAUAACUGUUAUUGGGGACAAGUUUAUAUCCAAGCAUGUAGAUGAUAAAAAGGAAAAGAAAUUGAAAAAGGUGGAAGACAAAAUGCUUGGAUGGGGGAAUCUCAUUCACGACCUCCAAUUUUCAAAGAACAAGUCAAUAAUUAUGUUGCAGACGAAAUUCAUGUGUUAGUGCCAUUCAAGUUCAUGGAUUUGCUACAGGAUUUUGGUGGCCUCGUGGUUCUCUAUUCCUCAACAAGACAUGGAUUUGCUGCAGGAUUUUGGUGGCCUCGUGGUUUGCAAUAGAUGACUUAAAAGUUGACAUGAUAUGGGAGAAGCUACAAAAAGGAAUUGGAUUAGAGAUAGUUAAACAGUUAGCUUCAGUUGGAAUCAAGAUGGUGCUCACAACAAGAAAUGAAGAGAGGGAUCUCCAAGCACAGGAAACACUCAAAGCCUCAGGUCUUUCUCACCUUGUACUGUUUCAUCAGGUGGAUGUGGCUAACUCAACAAGUGUAGUAGCUUCUCUAGCAGAUUUUAUCAAAUAUAAAUUUUGGAAACUUGAUAUUCACAACUUUAAUCAUAAUUACAUGCUUUUAACUUGAAAGUUUUAUAUCCUUUGUAACAUGAAUUCAGCUAAAUUUGUUUAGCUAUAUUGUUCCCCUUGGAUUAUUAAAACAAUUUCCUUGACAGAUUUGGCUAUCCAUAUGCAAGGAAUAUUUUUAUUUAUUAUUAAUAACAAUAUAUAAAGCAAUAUAUUAUUAUUAUUAACUUAUUAUUAUCCCUGGUACAUUUUUAUUAACAAUAUAUUAUUAUUAUUAUUAAUUUAUUAUUAUCCCUGGUACAUUUUUUUCUCUCAUUUUGUUACUCAACUUGUAAUAAUCUUUUCUCUAGCUACGUGGCAGAGCAGGAAGACAGGGGAAUCCGAGAUCAACAUGAUUUACGGUCAGGUAGUAAUAGUAUACUACUCACUACUGUUGUUAUUGCUAAAUAGUUUUUAAACAUGCGUGUGUACAUUUCUUUCCUAACACUAAUUGGUGAACUGAACCUGAUUGAAUGCCAUCUUCACAUAAGGUAAUUUUUUCUGUUACUUAUUGUAUUUUAAUUUUCAUGGGACAUCUUCACUUUAUAAGCUUGUUAAUAAAAUAUAGUACUUAUGUUGUUAGAGUGCAUUAGCUCCAUGACUUGCAAGAUUGACUACUCCUCCUUCUAGAUGAAUUGUCAUACUCUGAUAACAAAAAAUAACGUAUCACACAUGUCUUUAGAAAAUUAUAGAAUAAUUAACUGCUCUCUUUCUAAUUUUUUAGCACUUCUCUUUGGUUCAUCAAAGUGCUUUCUCCUGGUUUACACAAAUGGUAAGCGACUACAUCUUAUAAUAAUUCACCAAGCUAAAUCAUUUUACUGAUUAUUAAUUAAAUGUAAAUAUUUUUGUUUCAUAAAACAUGCCCCUUAGAAAGUCUUCAAUUCCUUUUCAGAGAAAUUGUUGGUUGUUUUUCAUUGUUAAUCUUGUUUCAUAUCCUAAUAAAAAGUAAUGUUGGCAGUGCAACUAGUGUUGAUGUUGAAGAACACCUAUAUAGGCUUGCAAAAGAUAUGAGAAUCAUGGUGUUAUUUCCUCACAAGUAACUUGACUAUAUAUGAAUAUUGGAAAAAAAAAAUACUGCCAUGGUAAAUUUAGUGAAUUAAGAGUACUUCACUAAUUUGUUGUUUAAUUUUGAUCUUGCCUCAUUUUCUUCCUAGUGUACACUUAUUUAAUUUCUUUAGUUCUAGAUAAACCAGUUAUAGCUUGUCUAACCUUAAACCUGCAUGUUAGCCAUAAUAAUGUGUGAUCAAACUAAUUUUCUCUGCUCCUGCCCCUAGUGUCCUGCUUUAAUUCCAUUUCAUUCCAUGGAACUAUGGCUGGUUAAUGGUGAAGGUAAUUGGAAGCUUUGAUUGAUCAAGCAGUGAGUUCACUAAAACACUAUUGUUGCCAUGGAUAUUAGCCUAUGUGUGUUUUGACCUUUUUUAAAAAAUUUAAGUUAUUAUAAAGCAUAAAAUAAAAUGAAAAUUAGUAAGGAAUGGACUGGGGAAAGAGCAUGGAGAGAAGAGAGAGCCAAGAGUGGGAUUAGAGAGAUACAGGGAAAGAGUAUCAUUUUUUCUGCUUGACAAUCUCCUUGUAUUCUAAAUCAUCUACAGAUGCCGAGGAUGCGGGAUUUGAUGAUGUCAUUAUUGAGGAUCAAACUGAUAAGACACGAGGUGCAGAGCUUAAUGAGCUUGAUGUGGAAGAGGAAGACGCGGCGGAGGAAGAAGGUUUCAGGUCCUCGUCUCCACUGGGGAACGAUGAGGUGGCGAUGAAAAAAAUGUGCAAGGGAGAAGUAGAGAGCAUUAAUGAGUGUAUUUGAGAUUAUCAUGAAAUCACCAAAACGAAAAGAUCUUGAGAGGAAGUCAUCCAAAUAUAGAUAAUGGCAAUAUAUGUUUCAUCCACUUUUUAAGUGAACAUCUUUUUGAAUUUUGAUGUUGAAGUAGAAUAUCAUAAAUAGAUUGCCACGUAUCCACAGUAAGGUGCCUAGCCAUAUAUUUAUUACACACUAGCUAGGUGCAGUUUUUGCAUGUCUUUAACCUUUAGUUGAAAGUCUGCAGUAACAAUAUUAUUCCUUUGUGUGCAGGGAGAAUCCUUAGAGGUAAAGUGAAGGUUGAGUUUCACAUUUCAUAUUUAAUACACUGGUUAUAUAGUUGGCUUUGAGUAGAGGAUCCUUUACUUUAAGGGAAAGAUUUUGACUCUGAGGAUCCUUUUUUUUAUCAUCAUUUGCACUUGGUGGUUACUGUUGUUUCAGCAAAUUACUGUUGAUUUUCUUUUUUGUUUACUAACAUUUUUUCAUAUAUAUUAGACCAUUGAAACACCAGACCAAAGGUUAUAUCCUUUUUUGCUCAUUUAAAUAAUUCAUUUGUUACUUUCUUGAAUCUUGAUGAAUUAAGGUUGUUCAGAUGAAUCAUACAUGUAAUCCAAUCACAAAAAGUAAAUGUUGUAGAAAAUAGAGAAAACAACUACUGCACUAAAAAUAUAAAUCAAUUUGGAUAUAGAUGUUUUCUUCAUGUCUAGAAUUUCCAAGGAACUUUUUGGUUACUGCUUGGAGGAAAUGUUUUCUGUUUUUUAUUUUUUUAGUUUCACUUUGUUUUUUGUUUUUUUUUCAAGUUUGUACAGGAAAAAGUGAAUACAAAAUGAUGAAUGUUAGGUUGGUAUUUGGUUUGGGUAAUUUGUUUCAGAAAGGUUAAUUUUUAUGUUCUAAAUUUAAUUGCAUUAAGAUUUAAUAGUGUUUCUUAUUUUUUUUGAGAAAAAUGAUGAAUUUUCCUUACCUAAAUGUGUUUGUCUUUUUUUUUUUUUGAAAAAAAAUCACCACCUUACAGGUAGCUUAGUGGUGAGACUUGUCUUUUUACCUUUUGAAGAAAGUUCAUAUGCAACAUUUGCCAGGUCCGCUUCAGGUAUGCUCUAAAAGAUGUUGGCAGAGUGGAGGAAGCAAUCGAGUACUAUAAUAUAUGUUCUUUCCUUACACUGGUUCUCUCUUUUUCAGGAAACAAAUGAUAUAUAUCGGGAGACAUAGCUUAGUAGCAUUUUAUAUUCCUAUGUAUGUAUUCUAUGUAAUGUAUGAUAUCCAUGUAUGAGGGGCAGGUUAUAUUUAAUGAUAUAUGAAAUUGAGUUGUA